AGUCAUUCGCUUGUCUUAAAGAUUAACCCAUGCAUGUCUAAGUAUAACCAUUUAUACUGGAAAACUGCGCACGGCUCAUUAUAUCAGUUAUAGUCCAUUUGAUAGUCUUUUUUACAAGGAUACUUGUGGCAAAUCUAGAAAUAAUACUUGCAUACGGAGGCGACUUUUAGGAGGCCUUGCAUUUGUUUGAUUUAAACCAAUACCCUUCGGGGUUGAAUAGGUGAUUCAGAACAACUAAGCGAAUCGCAGAGCUUCGGCGGCGAUGAAUCAUUCGAGUUUCUGCCCCAUCAGUUGUCGAAGAUAGGGUAUUGGCCUAUCUUGACUAUCACGGGUGACGGAGAAUCAGGGUUCGGUUCCGGAGAGGGAGCCUUAGAGACGGCUACCACAUCCAAGGAAGGCAGCAGGGGCGUAAAUUACUCAAUACCAAAUCGGUGAAGUAGUGACGAGAAAUAUCAUUAAGGGUCGCUUCGCGGCUUUUAAAUGAAAUGAGAGCAACGUAAAAGCCUCAUCGAGGAUCAAU
Molecule: ribosomal RNA, 520 nt
Filed under: uncultured marine eukaryote
Lineage: Eukaryota
Description: SSU rRNA
Rfam family: Eukaryotic small subunit ribosomal RNA
Source: RNAcentral